CAAGAGCGUAUAUUAAAGUUGUUGCAGUUAAAAAGCUCGUAGUUGGAUUUCUGGUACAAUGCGCCUGGCCCGCGACCGUCAGGUCUGUGAGUGCCGGUGCGCGUUUGCCAUCCUUCUAGAAAACGUUUCUACCCUUCACUGGGCCGGAUUCGCGAUCUAGAUCUUUUACUUUGAAAAAUUAGAGUGUUUAAAGCAGGCUUUUGCUAUGAAUACAUUAGCAUGGAAUAAUGGAAUAGGACUUUGGUGCUAUUUUGUUGGUUUAUGGGACCGAAGUAAUGAUUAACAGGGACAGUUGGGGCCGUUUAUAUUUCGUUGUCAGAGGUGAAAUUCUUGGAUUUACGAAAGAUAAACUUCUGCGAAAGCAUUCGGCAAGGAUGUUUUCAUUGAUCAAGAACGAAAGUUAGGGGAUCGAAGACGAUCAGAUACCGU
This 429-nucleotide ribosomal RNA is filed under the name uncultured eukaryote. RNAcentral's name for it is "bacterial SSU rRNA". It matches the Rfam family "Eukaryotic small subunit ribosomal RNA", at positions 592 to 1018 of the family's 1831-position model. The record is from RNAcentral.